AUACGGAGGAUCCGAGCGUUAUCCGGAUUUAUUGGGUUUAAAGGGUGCGCAGGCGGUAGAUUAAGUCGGCGGUGAAAUUUUUCAGCUCAACUGAAAAAAUGCCUUCGAAACUGGUUUCCUUGAGUGUAGAUGGAGGAGGCGGAAUUUGUGGUGUAGCCGUGAAAUGCAUAGAUAGUACUAGGAACUCCGAUUGCGGAGGCAGCGUUCUAACCUACUACUGACGCUGAGGCACGAAGGCGUGGGGAUCAAACAGGAUUAGAUACACGGGUAGUCCGCGCAGGAAACGUUGAUUACUAUCUGUUUGCGAUACAAUGUAAGCGGCUGAGCGAAAGCGUUAAGUAAACCACCUGGGGAGUACGUUCGCAAGGAUGAAACUCAAAGGAAUUGACGGGG
Molecule: ribosomal RNA, 393 nt
Filed under: uncultured bacterium
Lineage: Bacteria
Description: partial 16S ribosomal RNA
Rfam family: Bacterial small subunit ribosomal RNA
Source: RNAcentral